This 1166-nucleotide ribosomal RNA is filed under the name Pinus taeda (loblolly pine). RNAcentral's name for it is "SSU rRNA". The stretch from base 2 to 1023 matches the Rfam family "Eukaryotic small subunit ribosomal RNA", at positions 4 to 1116 of the family's 1831-position model. The record is from RNAcentral. Lineage: Eukaryota; Viridiplantae; Streptophyta; Pinopsida; Pinales; Pinaceae.
CCUGGUUGAUCCUGCCAGUAGUCAUAUGCUUGUCUCAAAGAUUAAGCCAUGCAUGUCUAAGUAUGAACUAAUUCAGACUGUGAAACUGCGGAUGGCUCAUUAAAUCAGUUAUAGUUUUUUUGAUGGUACCAUACUACUCGGAUACCCGUAGUAAUUCUAGAGCUAAUACGUGCACCAAGUCCCGACUCUUUGGAAGGGAUGCAUUUUUUAGAUAAAAGGCCGGCGCGGGCUUGCCCGCUUCUCCGGUGAAUCAUGAUAACUCGAUGGAUCGCACAGCCCUUGUACUGGCGAUGCUUCAUUCAAAUUUCUUCCCUAUCAACUUUCGAUGGUAGGAUAGAGGCCUACCAUGGUGGUGACGAGAGAUGGAGAAUUAGCAUUCGAUUCCGGAGAGGGAGCCUUAGAAACGGCUACACAUCCAAGGAAGGCAGCAAGCGCGCAAAUUACCCAAUCCUCACAUGGGGAGGUAGUGACAAUAAAUAACAAUACUGGGCUCAUCGAGUCUGGUAAUUGGAAUGAGUACAAUCUAAAUCCCUUAACGAGGAUCCAUUAGAGGGAAAGUCUGGUGCCAGCAGCCACGGUAAUUCCAGCUCCAAUAGCGUAUAUUUAAGUUGCUGUAGUUAAAAAGCUCGUAGUUGGAUCUUGGGUCGUAAAGGUCGGUCCACCUACUCGGUGUGCACCUGCCCUUCCGUCCCUUUUGUUGGCAGCAUGCUCCUGACCUUAAUUGGCUGGGUCAUGGCUUCGGUGCUGUUACUUUGAAAAAAUUAGAGUGCUCAAAGCAAGCUUAUGCUCUGAAUACAUUAGCAUGGAAUAACGUGAUAGGAGGCUGGUCCUAUUGUGUUGGCCUUCGGGGCUGGAGUAAUGAUUAAUAGGGACUGAUGGGGGCAUUCGUAUUUCAUUGUCAGAGGUGAAAUUCUUGGAUUUAUGAAAGAUGGACCACUCCGAAAGCAUUUGCCAAGGAUGUUUUCAUUAAUCAAGAACGAAAGUUGGGGGCUCCACCUGGCGCCCAAAAAUUUGGGGUUUCCACCCGGCGCCCAAAAUUUGGGGUUUCCAUGGUGCGCCCAAAAUUUGGGGUUUCCACUCGGCGCCCAUAAUUUGAGGUUUCCAUGUGGCGCUCAAAAUUUGGGGUUUUCACCCGACGCCCAAAAUUUGGGGUUUCCAUGCGGCGC